CCUACGGGUGGCAGCAGUGAGGAAUAUUGGUCAAUGGACGGAAGCCUGAACCAGCCAUGCCGCGUGCAGGAUGACGGCUCUAUGAGUUGUAAACUGCUUUUGUACGAGAAUAAUACUUCUUACGUGUAGGGAUUUGGAUGUAUCGUACGAAUAAGGCACGGGUUACUCCGGGCCCGCCGGCGCUGUAAUACCGAGGAUUCGAGCGUUAUCCUGAAUUAUUGGGGUUAAAGGGUGCGGAGGCUGUCGUGUAAGGUAGAGGGUAAAUGUUCAGGGUUAAACCCGGUCCUGCCGUCGAUACUGUUCGACUAGAGAGCGCAUGCAGCAUGCGGAAUGAGUAGUGUAGCGGUGAAAUGCUUAGAUAUGACGCAGAACACCGAUUGCGAAGGCAGCAUGC
Molecule: ribosomal RNA, 394 nt
Filed under: uncultured bacterium
Lineage: Bacteria
Description: partial 16S ribosomal RNA
Rfam family: Bacterial small subunit ribosomal RNA
Source: RNAcentral